Long non-coding RNA from Brassica oleracea var. oleracea, 1499 nucleotides. RefSeq lists it as uncharacterized. Lineage: Eukaryota; Viridiplantae; Streptophyta; Magnoliopsida; Brassicales; Brassicaceae. The transcript is spliced from 4 exons. The record is from RefSeq and is a predicted model, not a curated record.
UCUUUCCCUCUGAACUCGCCGGUUUCUGUUCUCAUAUCUCUUUACAUUCCCUGAGUUGAAUGAUUCUUAAAAUUCGGUAAUAACUGUGAAUCACAUUAAAAUCUGUAACGAUCCCGCUCUUCGUUUCUUCUCUGUCAAAUCUAUAAAUAAGGGAUGGUUGAAACUUGGCUGAACCUUCGCAAUCACUUUCAGUCUAUUUUCUUUUUCGAGCAUAAAGAGAUUCUGAGAAAAUGUCUUCCUCCGAUCCUAUUGUUGCACAAUCAGCCUUUCAUUGUUGUGCGUCUGCUCCGUUUUUGGGACUCCAAAAAUAACAAAAAAGCAUGGUGAAUUCAUGGGAAUCACUCUAUUUCUCCUUGAUGAAAAGUGUUUUCUAGGAGCGAUGUUCCUUCAUUUGUGUAGGCGACGAUUGGUGUUAAUUGACGCCCUUCGAACCGCACCGUCGUAUUCAGGGGAUUUGAAGAGGACAGUAACAGGAUUCAAAUCAACACCGAUCUUCGUGGUCGCAAGGUGUCAGACAUUUUUCAGAUUGUGUUAGCAUCGUUUUAGUUGAGUUUGGCUCUGUUUCGUGUUGUGAUUAUCUGCGUUUCGUUGCAGAUUCAAGAGCUUAAGCUGUGUUUGGAUUACAUUACCUUAAUUCCACUUUGAUUUUGACACCGGUGGUUGUUGUUUUUUAAGCUGUGUUGGUAUUUCUCGGAGACUUGGGAGCAGUUUCAGAUCAAUGGAAGGGUUUAGGUCAUUGAUGCAUAGUUAUGACCAGACCAAGCUUCAGGCCGGAUAUACAAUGUGGGGACAUCACACCUCAGAGCCUUAACGUGUGAGGCGACAAGGAGGGGACAUCACGCCUCAGAGCCAUAGCAAAGCUGAGGGCUUACCUUUUGUACAUGAGGCGUCCCUACAUAAAAAGAAGUCAAGAGGCGUCCAAGGCGUGUGAGGCGUCAAAGGCGAUGUGAAGCGUGGUAGAGCGUCGCCUUCCUGAAAACGCCUCGCCUUACCUCUGCAAGGCGAUGACCCCUCCAACUGAGGUCGCCUCAUGCCUUAGCGUUCGCUUUUUAAAACCCUAUACAUAACUCAGUUUAACAACUCAGAGAAGGAAGAAAGACUUCUUUUUUAUCCUCAUUGUUUUGAUUUUGGUUUCUUAAUGUAGCUAAGAGAGAAGACUUGGUUUGCUAAUUCUCUAACGUCAAGGCUGAUGUACUUGCGCCAGUGAGUAAUCAGAUCAAGAAGUUAAGUUAGUUCCCUCAAAUGGUCCAGUUGCUGUUCACUGGCUAAUGCUUCUAGAGCCAGAAAAGGUUUUUAUUUAUUUAUAAAUUUUUUUUUUGAUGUCCCUUUCGUUGAAGCUAGCAGAUUGUUUCAUUAGUGAUUUCUCUUGAUGACAAGUUUAUUACUUGAAUCUGAAAAGCAAUCAGAGGCUUUUGUUUUCACAGUCCAUAAUUAGUGGAACAGGAGAGAAGCGCUUGAUUUCUGAAAAGGUGAAUCCAUGAUUAAGUUUUAGUGCCUGA